AUACGUAGGGGACGAGCGUUGUCUGGAAUUACUGGGCGUAAAGGGCGCGCAGGCGGAUAUUUAAGUCAGCUGUUAAAGUCAUGGGCUCAACUCAUGGAUGCGGUUGAAACUGGGUAUCUAGAGUGCUGGAGAGGUAGGCGGAAUUCCCGGUGUAGCGGGGAAAUGCGUAGAUAUCGGGAAGAACACCAGUGGCGAAGGCGGCUUACUGGCCAGCAACUGACGCUGAGGCGCGAAAGCCAGGGGAGCGAACGGGAUUAGAUACCCCGGUAGUCCUGGCCGUAAACGAUGAAUGCUAGGUGUGGGUGUCGAGAGGCAUCCGUGCCGGAGUUAACGCGAUAAGCAUUCCGCCUGGGGAGUACGGUCGCAAGAUUGAAACUCAAAUGAAUUGACGGGG
RNAcentral lists this ribosomal RNA (394 nucleotides) under uncultured bacterium. RNAcentral describes it as "partial 16S ribosomal RNA". It matches the Rfam family "Bacterial small subunit ribosomal RNA", at positions 523 to 918 of the family's 1533-position model. The record is from RNAcentral.